GCCCCAGACUCCUACGGGAGGCAGCAGUGGGGAAUAUUGCACAAUGGGGGAAACCCUGAUGCAGCGACGCCGCGUGAGCGAGGAAGUAUUUCGGUCUGUAAAGCUCUAUCAGCAGGGACGAAAAAAGACGGUACCUGACUAAGAAGCCCCGGCUAACUACGUGCCAGCAGCCGCGGUAAUACGUAGGGGGCAAGCGUUAUCCGGAUUUACUGGGUGUAAAGGGAGCGUAGACGGCAAGGCAAGCCAGAAGUGAAAGGGCAGGGCUCAACCCUGUACAUGCUUUUGGAACUGUGGUGCUAGAGUGCAGGAGAGGUAAGUGGAAUUCCUAGUGUAGCGGUGAAAUGCGUAGAUAUUAGGAGGAACACCAGUGGCGAAGGCGGCCUGCUGGACGGUGACUGACGCUGAGGCUCGAAAGCGCGGGUAUCGAACAGGAUUAGAUACCCGGGUA
Molecule: ribosomal RNA, 448 nt
Filed under: uncultured bacterium
Lineage: Bacteria
Description: bacterial SSU rRNA
Rfam family: Bacterial small subunit ribosomal RNA
Source: RNAcentral